UCCUAACUACCCUAUACAGGUAAUAUAACAGUCCUAACUACCCUAUACAGGUAAGAUAACAGUCCUAACUACCCUAUAGAGGUAAGAUAACAGGCCUAACUACCCUAUACAGAUAUUAUAGCAGUCCUAACUACCCUAUAGAGUAAGAUAACAGUCCUAACUACCCUAUAGAGGUAAGAUAACAGUCCUAACUACCCUAUACAGAUAAUAUAACAGUCCUAACUACCCUAUACAGGUAAGAUAACAGUCCUAACUACCCUAUAGAGGUAAGAUAACAGUCCUAACUACCCUAUAGAGGUAAGAUAACAGUCCUAACUACCCUAUACAGAUAAUAUAACAGUCCUAACUACCCUAUACAGGUAAGAUAACAGUCCUAACUACCCUAUAGAGGUAAGAUAACAGUCCUAACUACCCUAUAGAGGUAAGAUAGCAGUACUAACUACCCUAUACAGGUAAUAUAACAGUCCUAACUACCCUAUACAGAUAAUAUAACAGUCCUAACUACCCUAUACAGGUAAGAUAACAGUCCUAACUACCCUAUACAGUAAGAUAACAGUACUAACUACCCUAUACAGGUAAUAUAACAGUCCUAACUACCCUAUACAGUAAGAUAACAGUCCUAACUACCCUAUAGAGGUAAGAUAACAGUCCUAACUACCCUAUACAGAUAAUAUAACAGUCCUAACUACCCUCUACAGGUAAGAUAACAGUCCUAACUACC
Molecule: long non-coding RNA, 721 nt
Filed under: Salmo salar (Atlantic salmon)
Lineage: Eukaryota; Metazoa; Chordata; Actinopteri; Salmoniformes; Salmonidae
Description: lncRNA (ENSSSAG00000101202.1)
Source: RNAcentral